Molecule: ribosomal RNA, 429 nt
Filed under: uncultured bacterium
Lineage: Bacteria
Description: bacterial SSU rRNA
Rfam family: Bacterial small subunit ribosomal RNA
Source: RNAcentral
UGGGGAAUAUUGCGCAAUGGUCGAAAGACUGACGCAGCGACGCCGCGUGUGGGAGGAAGCCCUUCGGGGUGUAAACCACUGUCGGGAGGGACGAAUCCCGUACGGGCGAAUAGCCCGGACGGUUGACGGUACCUUCAAAGGAAGCACCGGCUAACCCUGUGCCAGCAGCCGCGGUAAUACAGGGGGUGCAAGCGUUGUUCGGAAUUACUGGGCGUAAAGCGCGGGCAGGUGGCCUUUUAAGUCCUGUGUGAAAUCCCGGAGCUCAACUCCGGAUGUGCAUAGGAUACUGGAAGGCUAGGGACUGGUAGAGGCGAGCGGAAUUCCUGGUGUAGCGGUGGAAUGCGUAGAUAUCAGGAAGAACACCGGUGGCGAAGGCGGCUCGCUGGGCCAGAUCCGACACUCAUCCGCGAAAGCGUGGGGAGCAAACAG